Long non-coding RNA from Macrobrachium nipponense, 1002 nucleotides. RefSeq lists it as uncharacterized. NCBI's taxonomy places the organism in Eukaryota, Metazoa, Arthropoda, Malacostraca, Decapoda, Palaemonidae. The record is from RefSeq and is a predicted model, not a curated record. The transcript is spliced from 3 exons.
CAGAGAUUUAGGCUUACACAGUCUCCCAAGUAUAUAAGGGGCAUGUGGCUCCUGCUUUCUGCAUCAUUGUCCUGGAAGCACCGCCAAGCACCACAUCCUCCGACAUGAAGCUGAUCGUCGUCGCCUGCCUGGUCGCCAUGGCCAUGGCUGCUCCCAGACCCCAGGAAGACGUCUCCAUCUUGACAGAUGAACGCGUCGACCAAGGCGACGGAAACUUCAACUACAACUUCGAACUGAGCGACGGCACUGCCAUAGAAGCUGUGGGAACCCCUAACGACGAGGGCGCCGUCAGCAUCACGGGAUCUUACAGAUUCACUCUUCCUGACGGUGCAGUAGUCGAAAUCAAGUACGUGGCUGACGAAGCCGGUUUCAGGCCCGAAGGGGACGUCAUCCCCACCCCCCACCCACUCCCCGACCACGCCAUCGAGCAGAUCCGCUUCGCCGAGGAGCAGAGAGCGGCUGGAGUCACUUUCGAAUAAAGUUUUCGAUCCUUCGUCGUCGGCGCCCUUCGGGAACUGGGAUGCAUGAAGUGUUUCCUUCGUGAUCCUGAAAGUUCUUUUCGUGUUAAGGCCUAAUCUGUUUCAUUCCUUGGUCCGUCUUCAUUUAGUCUCGUUGAAUCCUUGUCUCCCGAAUUCACUAGUACUAAGAAUCCUAGUACUAUGAACCCUUAAAUCAUCUGAAUUCGAUUGCAUAUAUCUCUCUUUCUAUUUACACACACACACACACACACACACACACACACACACGUAUCCUUCCGUUAUCGUGCUGUAAAUAAAGCGUGGUCCUCAGUCGAUCAAAAGGCUAUAGUACUAUCAAGACUCCAUCAACGAUCUACGAGUCAAUUUCUCUGUCUCGUCGCCUCCUUUUUUUUCCCACAGACAAACAGAAACCGACCGAUCCUCCGCUCUCCGUCCCGCCAACGCUCCCUGAACCAAACUCACUUUUCACCAACGAUGAAGUCAGUUCUGCUGAUGUGUUGAAAAUAAAAUUAUUUUGCAUAAA